GUCUAUGGCCACACCCCCCUGAACACACCAGAUCCCAUCUGAUCUUGGAAGCUAUGCAGGGUCGGGCCUGGUUAGCACUUGGAUGGGAGACGUGACCAAACCUUGACGUCAGUGGCU
This 117-nucleotide ribosomal RNA is filed under the name Jaculus jaculus (lesser Egyptian jerboa). Lineage: Eukaryota; Metazoa; Chordata; Mammalia; Rodentia; Dipodidae. The record is from RNAcentral.